AGUGUCCACAAGGUGGGAACAUCAGGUCUUCCAUGCUAAGCUUUGCUAUUCCAAACGCUCCCUGCUCCCUAGACUAGAGGAAGCCUCCUGCCCCACACUUUCCCUUUCCCACCGUUCAAUUCCCUGUUCUAUUCUGCAGUGCCUGUGGGGAACGGGAGAUUCCCAGGAGGGGGGCCCACAGAAGUGCAGCUGGCGGAGCCUCACUGCUGAGUCACUUUCCGAGCACUCUUGCAGUUCUUUUUUUGGGAGCUUGAGAAAUACAUCCACAGUGCAAAACUAUUUGGUCAACAUUUACUUACUGAGGGACUUCCUUUGUGACAAGCACUAUAAUUUCCGGGUAAACUAAACUGAACCAAUGCUGGCCGGCCCCUUUCUCCCACCAGCUGGGAGGGAGACCUCUGUCAGUCUGUGCCUCCGUAAAUUGUAGGCCACCCCAGGACUUUGUCCAGUCCCUCCCUGCCCAUUCAGAGCCUGGCACGGGACCAGCACAUUGGUCCCAUUCACUGCCGUUGGACUUCGGCUUGAUGUGAUGGGGGAGGCAGACACGUCAAUCAACAACCGCAGCUGGACACAAGACAGAAGUGAAAAGACGUGACACUGGUGGUCACAGGCUGCAGCUCCUGCUCAGAGAAAGGCGCCCAGUGGGAAUCCAGCCUGCACACUAGAGAGAAGAGCAUGGCCUGCUGCCUAAGUACACUCCCACAACCCUCCCUCUGCCUUUGUUUCUCAGGAUCACUCUAGCCUGCCCACUGAGAACAGAAAGAGCAAAGCUGGCAUGAUAACAGCUUGCAAUGGAGAAAGAGAAAGACCUGUCUGUAUUCUGGAUCUACAGUAGAGGUAGAAUCAAACCGACCUUCUUAAUAGAUUCUGGGUUGGGAAAAGGAAGUCAAGGGACUGUACAAGGUAUGUAUCUCAACGGUAGAGCACAUGCUAUGCCCUGGGUUUGAGUUCCAGCACUAGAAAAGAAAGUAAAGGCAAAAAAACUCAGGGACAUCUCUAUGACUGUUAGUUUAAACUCCUCUAGCAACGCAUUUGCUAUUUACUUUUAGGGCAAAGACAAAAAGGAGAUUUGAUUAGAUGUCUACUGGUCACCAAGUGGUGAUUUCCACCACUACAUUAGAGAUACCUGUGGAUCUGACAAUCUCCCAUUCACAUAUUUAUGCCCUUGACUGGUAAAGAUCUGACUCCCAUGUUUAGGGAGUGACUACAGAGGGAUCCUAUAGGUCAGAAAAAUGAGAAAUCAGCAAAGGAGACUACCAAAUAACACCCAGAGAAGAGCAGAAAGAGAAGGCCAAGGAAUGUGUUGAGAUUCAUAUCUAAUCCUGGAAUCUGAGCUUCCCCUGAUAAAAUUUUUAUAUCACAGAAAUGAUAAAAAAUAACCUCUAGGAAAUUAAUAUUCUUUGGCCUAAAAUGAUAAUCUUGAGUGUUUUCCUGAAUGCUUAAGAAAAUUGACACCUCCCAUUUCCUGAGUACUUUGCUCAUUCACUGAUACAUUUAACUAGUCUAUGCCAGGUGCUGGAUUAGGGCCCGCAGAAAAUACAGAUAAAUUCACACUUUUUUUUUUUAAAAUCUCUGGCCUUAAACCACUCCUAUAAGGCGGAGACAAGCUGUAAACAUGCAAACCACCCAUCUAGAAGUCUGUCAAGUAGACACCACGGAUUAGGACGGCACGUCGGGGAUAGAGGGAGGGCAGGGGACAUUAAGGUAGGUGGGCCCAAUCUGCCAACAGCAUGGUAACAUCACUAACUUACCUUUUCACUAUUCCCUUCAGAGUGCGGAAGGCGGGAAGCACAAUCUUGCCAGACAGGUAUCGUGAGUCACUUCCCCAGCACACCAAAAUGCGACUCUUUUAAGUUACCCAGGCCUUAGCUCCGAACCUCAGGACCUCCCGAGACCCAAAGGACCCCGCCUUUAAACCCCUGGAGCCGGACGCACUACAGAUCCCACCUGCCCUAGCGCGCCCCGCAGCCCACCGAACCAGUCCCGCCGCCGCGGGGACACCUGGGGGCUGUAGUCUCCACUGCCCGAC
Long non-coding RNA from Peromyscus leucopus (white-footed mouse), 2029 nucleotides. RefSeq lists it as uncharacterized. Lineage: Eukaryota; Metazoa; Chordata; Mammalia; Rodentia; Cricetidae. The record is from RefSeq and is a predicted model, not a curated record. The transcript is spliced from 3 exons.